Molecule: unclassified non-coding RNA, 225 nt
Filed under: fungal sp.
Lineage: Eukaryota; Fungi
Description: partial internal transcribed spacer region
Rfam family: Eukaryotic small subunit ribosomal RNA (bases 1-46)
Source: RNAcentral
AAGUCGUAACAAGGUUUCCGUAGGUGAACCUGCGGAAGGAUCAUUACCAAGUUUAAUCCAAAAAAACACUCUCAACCCAUGUGCACUAUGGAUUUGUCUUGUCCUUGGGGUGACUUGUUCAGCGGGUCGCCCCAUAUUUGUUAAACCCUUUUAUAUUUUGUCAUGGCAUCUUGAUUUGUCUAAAUUCAAAAAGGACAACUUUUAACGGUGGAUCUCUUGGCUCGU